AAAAUUACGCUGUUAUCCCUAAAGUAACUUAAUUUUUUAAUCAUUAUAUAUGGAUCAAAUAAUCAUAAAUAAAUGUUUUUAAAAAUUAAAAGUUUAUUAAAUUUUAAUAUCACCCCAAUAAAAUAUUUAAAUAUAAUAUAAAUAAAAAUAUCUUAAUAAUUUAUUUAAAAAUAAAUAUAAAGAUUUAUAGGGUCUUCUCGUCUUUUAAAUAUAUUUUAGCUUUUUUACUAAAAUAUAAAAUUCUAAAAUAAUUUAUAUGAAACAGCUUAUAUUUCGUCCAACCAUUCAUUCUAGCCUUCAAUUAAAAG
Molecule: ribosomal RNA, 308 nt
Filed under: Microdon dimorphon
Lineage: Eukaryota; Metazoa; Arthropoda; Insecta; Diptera; Syrphidae
Description: partial 16S ribosomal RNA
Source: RNAcentral